CGUGGGUAACCUGCCCUGUACACAACGGAUAACAUACCGAAAGGUAUGCUAAUACGAGAUAAUAUGCUUUUAUCACAUGGUAGAAGCAUCAAAGCUUUUGCGGUACAGGAUGGACCCGCGUCUGAUUAGCUAGUUGGUAAGGUAACGGCUUACCAAGGCGACGAUCAGUAGCCGACCUGAGAGGGUGAUCGGCCACAUUGGAACUGAGACACGGUCCAAACUCCUACGGGAGGCAGCAGUGGGGAAUAUUGCACAAUGGCGAAAGCCUGAUGCAGCAACGCCGCGUGAGCGAUGAAGGCCUUCGGGUCGUAAAGCUCUGUCCUCAAGGAAGAUAAUGACGGUACUUGAGGAGGAAGCCCCGGCUAACUACGUG
RNAcentral lists this ribosomal RNA (373 nucleotides) under uncultured bacterium. RNAcentral's name for it is "bacterial SSU rRNA". It matches the Rfam family "Bacterial small subunit ribosomal RNA", at positions 116 to 507 of the family's 1533-position model. The record is from RNAcentral.